This 466-nucleotide ribosomal RNA is filed under the name Vreelandella stevensii. RNAcentral's name for it is "partial 16S ribosomal RNA". It matches the Rfam family "Bacterial small subunit ribosomal RNA", at positions 338 to 795 of the family's 1533-position model. The record is from RNAcentral. Lineage: Bacteria; Pseudomonadati; Pseudomonadota; Gammaproteobacteria; Oceanospirillales; Halomonadaceae.
CCUACGGGCGGCUGCAGUGGGGAAUAUUGGACAAUGGGGGCAACCCUGAUCCAGCCAUGCCGCGUGUGUGAAGAAGGCCCUCGGGUUGUAAAGCACUUUCAGUGAGGAAGAACGCCUGGUGGUUAAUACCCAUCAGGAAAGACAUCACUCACAGAAGAAGCACCGGCUAACUCCGUGCCCAGCAGCCGCGGUAAUACGGAGGGUGCGAGCGUUAAUCGGAAUUACUGGGCGUAAAGCGCGCGUAGGUGGCUUGAUAAGCCGGUUGUGAAAGCCCCGGGCUCAACCUGGGAACGGCAUCCGGAACUGGCAAGCUAGAGUGCAGGAGAGGAAGGUAGAAUUCCCGGUGUAGCGGUGAAAUGCGUAGAGAUCGGGAGGAAUACCAGUGGCGAAGGCGGCCUUCUGGACUGACACUGACACUGAGGUGCGAAAGCGUGGGUAGCAAACAGGAUUAGAUACCCUGGUAGUC